RNAcentral lists this ribosomal RNA (430 nucleotides) under uncultured bacterium. Its description in RNAcentral is "bacterial SSU rRNA". It matches the Rfam family "Bacterial small subunit ribosomal RNA", at positions 79 to 507 of the family's 1533-position model. The record is from RNAcentral.
GCAAUACACUGAUGGCGACGGCAAACGGGUGCGGAACACGUACAGAACCUUCCUUCGAGCGGGGAAUAGCCCAGAGAAAUUUGGAUUAAUACCCCAUAGUAUAGCGGAGAGGCAUCUCUCUGUUAUUAAAGAUUUAUCACUUGAAGAUGGCUGUGCGGCUGAUUAGGUAGUUGGCGGGUAACGGCCCACCAAGCCUGCGAUCAGUAACUGGUGUGAGAGCACGACCAGUCACACGGGCACUGAGACACGGGCCCGACUCCUACGGGAGGCAGCAGUAAGGAAUAUUGGUCAAUGGACGAAAGUCUGAACCAGCCAUGCCGCGUGGAGGAUGAAGGUCCUCUGGAUUGUAAACUUCUUUUAUAUGGGACGAAAAAAGGUCUUUCUAGAUCGUCUGACGGUACCAUAUGAAUAAGCACCGGCUAACUCCGUG